This 355-nucleotide long non-coding RNA is filed under the name Physcomitrium patens. RNAcentral describes it as "long non-coding RNA (PPAT_LNC013246)". The record is from RNAcentral. Lineage: Eukaryota; Viridiplantae; Streptophyta; Bryopsida; Funariales; Funariaceae.
UUGAUUUUAUAUUAAUAAUAGUUAUUAUAUAUUUAGAGCCUCUUUUAUUAUACAUUGGUGACUCUUGAAAUUUUUUUUUGUUUCUUUUAUUUAGUAUUUAGGACACAUACUAUUAAAAAUUUAUUAGAAAAAAGAUUAAGAAGGAUUUUUGUAUCAAAAGAGGUAGUUAGCCCUCUAUAUGGAUGAAUAGAAAUGGAUGAUGAAAAUCUCUAUUCCUAUUGGCCAAAAGUCAUCUCUAAUAGGCUUCAAUGAAGUUAUCCAAGGCCUUAUUAGAGAUGACGGUUACUCUUUCAAAGACAUUCAAACAUCAAAGGUUAGAGUCGUCAAGAUUAGGAUUUUGGAUAUAAUUUUGGUG